RNAcentral lists this transfer RNA (78 nucleotides) under Perca fluviatilis (European perch). Its description in RNAcentral is "tRNA-Pro". It matches the Rfam family "tRNA". From Rfam's summary of the family: Transfer RNA (tRNA) molecules are approximately 80 nucleotides in length. Their secondary structure includes four short double-helical elements and three loops (D, anti-codon, and T loops). Lineage: Eukaryota; Metazoa; Chordata; Actinopteri; Perciformes; Percidae. The record is from RNAcentral.
GACGAGGUGGCUGCGUGGUUAAGGCGAUGGAUGGCUGAUUGUUCUCUGCACGCGUGGCUUCGAAUCCCAUCCUUGUCA